UGGGGAAUAUUGCACAAUGGGCGCAAGCCUGAUGCAGCCAUGCCGCGUGUGAAGAAGGCCUUCGGGUUGUAAAGCACUUUCAGCGAGGAGGAAGGUGGUGAGCUUAAUACGCUCAUCAAUUGACGUUACUCGCAGAAGAAGCACCGGCUAACUCCGUGCCAGCAGCCGCGGUAAUACGGAGGGUGCAAGCGUUAAUCGGAAUUACUGGGCGUAAAGCGCACGCAGGCGGUUUGUUAAGUCAGAUGUGAAAUCCCCGGGCUCAACCUGGGAACUGCAUUUGAAACUGGCAAGCUAGAGUCUCGUAGAGGGGGGUAGAAUUCCAGGUGCAGCGGUGAAAUGCGUAGAGAUCUGGAGGAAUACCGGUGGCGAAGGCGGCCCCCCUGGACGAAGACUGACGCUCAGGUGCGAAAGCGUGGGGCAGCAAACAGGAUUAGAUACCCUGGUAGUCCACGCUGUAAACGAUGUCGAUUUUGGAGGUUGUGCCCUUGAGGCGUGGCUUCCGGAGCUAACGCGUUAAAUCGACCGCCUGGGGAG
This 534-nucleotide ribosomal RNA is filed under the name uncultured bacterium. RNAcentral's name for it is "partial 16S ribosomal RNA". It matches the Rfam family "Bacterial small subunit ribosomal RNA", at positions 355 to 880 of the family's 1533-position model. The record is from RNAcentral.